UUGGGUGACACUGGGGUGAUACUGGGUGACGUUGGGUGACACUGGGUGACACAGGGGUGUCAUUGGGUGACGCUGGGUGACACUGGGGUGAUACUGGGUGACGUUGGGUGACGCUGGGUGACACAAGGGUGACAUUGGGUGACGUUGGGUGGCAGAAGGAUGAGGUCGGGUGACGUUGGGUGACACAGGGGUGAUGUUGGGUGACACGGGGGUGACACUGGGUGACGCUGGGUGACACCAGGUGACAAGGGGGUGACGUUGGGUGGCACAGGGGUGACACCGGGUGACACAAGGGUGACGUUGGGUGACACGAGGGUGGCACUGGGGGAUGCUGGGUGGCACCGGGUGACAGGGGGGGUGACGGGGGGGGUGACAUCACGUGACAAGGGGGGGGGUGACAUCACGUGACCCCGGGGCGACGCCCCCCACCCCCACCCCCGCCCUCACCGGGCAGCAGCGGCUCGCGGGGGUUGACCUCCUCCGGGCCGGGCACGCUGAUGACGUCAGCGGCGGGGGGCGUGGCCGGGGGCUCGUGGGCGAGGCGGAGGCGGGGCCUGUUGAGGGUGGGCAGGCGGAGGGCCCCCACCGCCCCCACGUUGCAGCCCAGGUGGGCACCCACCAGCAGGGCCACCAGCACCCAGCUCAGCCUGCGGGGGUGGGGGGGGGGCGUUUCCCAUCAGCCCCCGGG
This 688-nucleotide long non-coding RNA is filed under the name Anser brachyrhynchus (Pink-footed goose). Its description in RNAcentral is "lncRNA (ENSABRG00000008937.1)". Lineage: Eukaryota; Metazoa; Chordata; Aves; Anseriformes; Anatidae. The record is from RNAcentral.